GAUGAAGAACGCAGCGAAAUGCGAUAAGUAAUGUGAGUUGCAGAAUUCAGUGAAUCAUCGAAUCUUUGAACGCACAUUGCGCCCGCCAGUAUUCUGGCGGGCAUGCCUGUCCGAGCGUCAUUUCAACCCUCGAACCCCUCCGGGGGGUCGGCGUUGGGGAUCGGCCCUGCCUUUGGCGGUGGCCGUCUCCGAAAUACAGUGGCGGUCUCGCCGCAGCCUCUCCUGCGCAGUAGUUUGCACACUCGCAUCGGGAGCGCGGCGCGUCCACAGCCGUUAAACACCCAACUUCUGAAAUGUUGACCUCGGAUCAGGUAGGAAUACCCGCUGAACUUAAGCAUAUCAAUAAGCGGAGGA
RNAcentral lists this unclassified non-coding RNA (354 nucleotides) under soil metagenome. Its description in RNAcentral is "partial contains 5.8S ribosomal RNA, internal transcribed spacer 2, and large subunit ribosomal RNA". The stretch from base 1 to 120 matches the Rfam family "5.8S ribosomal RNA", at positions 35 to 154 of the family's 154-position model. The record is from RNAcentral.